AUUGAACGCUGGCGGCAUGCCUUACACAUGCAAGUCGAACGGUAACAGGUCUUCGGAUGCUGACGAGUGGCGAACGGGUGAGUAAUACAUCGGAACGUGCCCGAUCGUGGGGGAUAACGGAGCGAAAGCUUUGCUAAUACCGCAUACGAUCUACGGAUGAAAGCAGGGGACCGCAAGGCCUUGCACGGACGGAGCGGCCGAUGGCAGAUUAGGUAGUUGGUGGGAUAAAAGCUUACCAAGCCGACGAUCUGUAGCUGGUCUGAGAGGACGACCAGCCACACUGGGACUGAGACACGGCCCAGACUCCUACGAGAGGCAGCAGUGGGGAAUUUUGGACAAUGGGCGAAAGCCUGAUCCAGCCAUGCCGCGUGCAGGAUGAAGGCCUUCGGGUUGUAAACUGCUUUUGUACGGAACGAAAAGACUCCUUCUAAUAAAGGGAGUCCAUGACGGUACCGUAAGAAUAAGCACCGGCUAACUACGUG
This 482-nucleotide ribosomal RNA is filed under the name uncultured bacterium. Its description in RNAcentral is "bacterial SSU rRNA". It matches the Rfam family "Bacterial small subunit ribosomal RNA", at positions 30 to 507 of the family's 1533-position model. The record is from RNAcentral.